GCCUUUGUGGCGGAACAGGUAGACGCAGCGGACUUAAAAUCCGUUGGCCGCAAGGCCGUCCCGGUUCGACUCCGGGCAAAGGCACCA
Molecule: transfer RNA, 87 nt
Filed under: Magnetococcales bacterium
Lineage: Bacteria; Pseudomonadati; Pseudomonadota; Magnetococcia; Magnetococcales
Description: tRNA-Leu
Rfam family: tRNA
About the family: Transfer RNA (tRNA) molecules are approximately 80 nucleotides in length. Their secondary structure includes four short double-helical elements and three loops (D, anti-codon, and T loops).
Source: RNAcentral